UUCCCAAGAGCAAGUGGAAGGAUGGCGAAGAUGAGUCCGAGCAGUCCAACCCCUACUCCUAUGAUUCUUUUCCCCUGCUAUCACGCUUGUUCGCAAACUGCUUCGCAUCUCUGAUGUUUGGAUUUAGGAUUUCUUUGAUCUUCAGAUGAUACUAACCAUGUUACUCUAUUUCGACCAAGGAAUGUGCUUCUGUUGUUUCAGAUUCCAUGCCAAUCAUUCACAAGAUUUUACCAAUUAAAGGGAAUACUGGCUGUACUAAAGAAUGUAAACACCCAUCGGAUUGAGGCAAACAAUCGUUUAGCAACUAAUAAUAUGCAAAGGUGACUUCAUGGAUGUGCACUUGACAUUCACAUUCGGCCCCCGAAUGAGGAGAAAACUAUCCAAUCUGCUGCAGAU
Molecule: long non-coding RNA, 396 nt
Organism: Lolium rigidum
Lineage: Eukaryota; Viridiplantae; Streptophyta; Magnoliopsida; Poales; Poaceae
Exons: 3
Source: RefSeq, a predicted model, not a curated record